RNAcentral lists this long non-coding RNA (242 nucleotides) under Capsicum annuum. Its description in RNAcentral is "long non-coding RNA (CANN_LNC010734)". Lineage: Eukaryota; Viridiplantae; Streptophyta; Magnoliopsida; Solanales; Solanaceae. The record is from RNAcentral.
AGAUGGAAAGUCCAUUUGGGACUAGUAUUGAAGGUUGAUAGUCAAGUAUGUAAAGCAUACUCUAUACCAUAUCUUUGGCAUGAAAGUGAACAAUUGUUCUAUUAAGAAAGUUUCCAAAGUUAUUCAGUAACAUGUGAUCCAUAAUGAUUUUGUAUGAUGUCCUACGUUACCAAUGAACUUGUUUUCACCCUACAAGAUGUCAAGACAUUCCAAUACUUGUUUUCUAAAUCUUACAUGUUUAU